RNAcentral lists this ribosomal RNA (404 nucleotides) under Aurospio sp. NHM 2186. RNAcentral's name for it is "partial large subunit ribosomal RNA". The stretch from base 51 to 404 matches the Rfam family "Bacterial large subunit ribosomal RNA", at positions 2048 to 2620 of the family's 2925-position model. The record is from RNAcentral. Lineage: Eukaryota; Metazoa; Annelida; Polychaeta; Spionida; Spionidae.
ACGGACACACGAAAACGCAACUUUCUUAUCGAGGAAAAUAAAAAUUAACCUUCAAGUGAAGAGACUUGAGUACCAUAAAAAGACGAAAAGACCCUAUGGAGCUUUACUUAAGUUAUUAAACCACAAAUAAAAAAAGCUUUUUUUACUAAAAAAGUUUAGUUGGGGCGACUAAGGAGCACACACCACCCUCCUACUGACAAAAGACUCUAAAUCUACAAAAGAUCCACAAACGUGAAUAAAAAUCCAGCUACCCUAGGGAUAACAGGCUAAUCCUCCUUAAGAGCUCAAAUUGACAGGAGGGCUUGGCACCUCGAUGUUGGCUUAAGAUCUCUACUAAGUGCAGCAGCUUAGGUAGUAGGUUUGUUCAACCUUUAAAAUCUUACGUGAUCUGAGUUCAGACCGGA